UGGAGUAAUGUCUGGGAAACUGCCUGAUGGAGGGGGAGUAACUACUGGAAACGGUAGCUAAUACCGCAUAACGUCGCAAGACCAAGAGGGGGACCUUCGGGCCUCUUGCCAUCGGAUGUGCCCAGAUGGGAUUAGCUAGUAGGUGGGGUAACGGCUCACCUAGGCGACGAUCCCUAGCUGGUCUGAGAGGAUGACCAGUCACACUGGAACUGAGACACGGUCCAGACUCCUACGGGAGGCAGCAUG
RNAcentral lists this ribosomal RNA (246 nucleotides) under uncultured bacterium. RNAcentral's name for it is "partial 16S ribosomal RNA". It matches the Rfam family "Bacterial small subunit ribosomal RNA", at positions 107 to 353 of the family's 1533-position model. The record is from RNAcentral.